RNAcentral lists this unclassified non-coding RNA (325 nucleotides) under Hevea brasiliensis (rubber tree). Lineage: Eukaryota; Viridiplantae; Streptophyta; Magnoliopsida; Malpighiales; Euphorbiaceae. The record is from RNAcentral.
CAGCCGAUUCCGUCGAACGCCUGAUGGGCACCAAGGCCGAAGCCCGCUUUGCCUUCAUUUCCGACAAGGCCGAGUUCGCCAGCGAGGACAUGCUGGACGUAUAGCCCGCUCGUGAAACCAAUCCCGGCAGGAGGCGUAGUGUCUAUAUGAAAACACUUCUGCUCACUGUUGGCACACUCGCGCUUUUGGUCGGACUGCUCUGGAUCGGUCAGGGCACUGGUUAUGUGAACUGGCCGCAGUCCAGCUUCAUUGAUCAGCCAGAUGCAAUGGGCCUACUACGGCGCUGCACUGGGCAUCGCUGGAUUGCUGAUGAUUGUCAUCGCGC